This 1299-nucleotide long non-coding RNA is filed under the name Cottoperca gobio. RNAcentral describes it as "lncRNA (ENSCGOG00000024677.1)". Lineage: Eukaryota; Metazoa; Chordata; Actinopteri; Perciformes; Bovichtidae. The record is from RNAcentral.
CAACUAUGUUACAUGGUGUUUGGUCCUAUGGCUUCUUUGUGUCCUGGCUCGUGUUCCCUCGUGUCAAUCCUGGUGGUCCAGGGACUCAAACAGCAGCCUUUGAGCCAUGGUUUUGCCUCCUCGUCUACCAGGCUCCUGCAACCACCACGGUAAAUCGAGUCACCUUGAAGCAUCGCUGGAGGCCCCAAGCCUGCAGGGGCUCUCGUUAGGAGCUGCAGUGAGGAAUCCACAUCAGCCGUCUUCUCCGUCAAAAGCGACCUCUCCUGCUGACUCCAUCCUCCUUCGUACCCAUUCCCCGAGUGCCCUGAGUUAUCACUGUAUGCAAGCGGUAUGGGGAGCAAUCCAACACCGGCCUCUGCUCCUGCUCAUUCUAGUGGAACUAAGAGGGACCAAUGAAGACUCGCUCUACUUCACAAUGGUCUGUACACCUCCUCAGAAGAGCUGAGACACUCAUUGUGAGUGUCUCUGGCCCUCUCACUACACAGCGACGGAUGCUUCAUCUGCAGUGCGAGUUGUGAAAGUCUUGGGAGUCGCUGUUAGGAGGAGCAGUUAAUUUGAUAUAGGGCAGCUCGUGUCAUCUCAGUUUGCUUUAGUACGCGACACCGAGCUCAGUCUUCAGGGUGCAAAAUGGUGCUGGUUUUCUUUCCUACCAGCUAGUUAAUUGCAGUUAAUUGCAUCCACCUCGCAUCCCAUAUGUGCCUCAUUAGGAGGCUAGGGGGAAAGAAAUCCAGGCUUUGGAAACCACUGUGUUAUGUGAAGUGACAUAAAGAAGCCACUGGCAGCCAUAUUGGAUGUCCUCAGUGCUCGGGCAGCUGUGAAUGAUAUUUCAUUGUGAUUUUAAAGUGGAUUUUAGCUAAAUAGGACUGCGGACAAAGCCGCAUUUCAGGGAGAGUAAUCGCUCAUGAUGAUCAGACUUUACACUUUUUGCUUGAAUCCACCAACAUCAACUAAAGCAACCUUUUUUUUUUAUCUCUGUUUGUUUACACUGUUUGCACACAAUCAUCCAAUGCACCUCCAUCUUGGCACCAGAUGUGGUUUUUCUUGAAGAUUCACUUAUGCUUUUUUGUCACAUCCUCCACUGUGUCCUUCUGAUCUGCGGUGUUUCCCAUUAUGUUCUGCUCGGUGCUGCUCUGCUCUCCUCUGAUACUCCAUGGUCUUGUGUGUGUUUCUUUCAAAAUCAUGUUGUGCUCCACUCCUCACUCCAUUCAGUCAUCUGCAUUUACAACUGUGCGUCGAGUAUUUCUCUUUCAGUACUGUAAGAGGAGGAAAAUAAACAACGCCAACAACCUUCAGCACAAC